CGGGUUAUAGCUCAGUGGUACAGUGCGUGCUUAGCAUGCUUGAGGUCCUGGGUUCAAUCCCCAGUACCUCCA
RNAcentral lists this transfer RNA (72 nucleotides) under Camelus bactrianus (Bactrian camel). It matches the Rfam family "tRNA". Rfam says of the family: Transfer RNA (tRNA) molecules are approximately 80 nucleotides in length. Their secondary structure includes four short double-helical elements and three loops (D, anti-codon, and T loops). RNAcentral also lists the same sequence under 1 other name. The record is from Rfam by way of RNAcentral. Lineage: Eukaryota; Metazoa; Chordata; Mammalia; Artiodactyla; Camelidae.